UACGGGGGAUGCGAGCGUUAUCCGGAUUUAUUGGGUUUAAAGGGUGCGUAGGCGGGAUGCCAAGUCAGCGGUAAAAAUGCGGUGCUCAACGCCGUCGAGCCGUUGAAACUGGCGUUCUUGAGUGGGCGAGAAGAAGGCGGAAUGCGUGGUGUAGCGGUGAAAUGCAUAGAUAUCACGCAGAACCCCGAUUGCGAAGGCAGCCUUCCGGCGCCCUACUGACGCUGAGGCACGAAAGUGCGGGGAUCGAACAGG
This 252-nucleotide ribosomal RNA is filed under the name uncultured bacterium. Its description in RNAcentral is "partial 16S ribosomal RNA". It matches the Rfam family "Bacterial small subunit ribosomal RNA", at positions 524 to 776 of the family's 1533-position model. The record is from RNAcentral.